AACUGGGGCACUUAAUUUUUAUUAGCUAAACGAGGAGCAAGACUCUGCUCUCCGUUUAAUUGGAUCUGGGUUUACCCAGGGAUUCUUUUCCUAUUAUUCAAGUAAGAGCUGCAAGUGGUGCUCACGCCUGCAAUCUCAGCAGGCAUGGGAAAGACAGAGGCUGCCGGGUGGAGGCUGCAGGUGGAUGCCUCCGAUCCUCCAACUGUCCUUCACGUAGAAGGGCUUUUUCUACAACCCGUCCGCGUCUGUGUGUGUCACACGGAGAAGUGUUGGCCAACCGGUCCAUCGCUGAACUCUCCUCCAGGAGUCACUUUUCAAGUGCCUGGUCGCACUGAUUCCGCUCCUCUAAACAUGCGUCCAAGACCCAGAAAGAGAACCUUUUGGAUCCAUUUAUACAACGGAGGACUGCUUCCCCGGACAUACUCCGACCGAAAGUGGGCACCUAACGUGAUUUCAGAAACCUACUUUGUGUAGGGGUGAAAAUGAGAAGAUGAGGUUGGCAGCUCU
Peromyscus maniculatus bairdii (prairie deer mouse) is the source of this 507-nucleotide non-coding RNA. Lineage: Eukaryota; Metazoa; Chordata; Mammalia; Rodentia; Cricetidae. The record is from RefSeq and is a predicted model, not a curated record.